RNAcentral lists this ribosomal RNA (253 nucleotides) under uncultured bacterium. Its description in RNAcentral is "partial 16S ribosomal RNA". It matches the Rfam family "Bacterial small subunit ribosomal RNA", at positions 524 to 776 of the family's 1533-position model. The record is from RNAcentral.
UACGGAGGGGGUUAGCGUUGUUCGGAAUGACUGGGCGUAAAGCGCGCGUAGGCGGGCUGGAAAGUCAGAGGUGAAAGCCCAGGGCUCAACCCCGGAACUGCCUUUGAAACUCCCAGCCUUGAGUUCGAGAGAGGUGGGUGGAAUUCCGAGUGUAGAGGUGAAAUUCGUAGAUAUUCGGAGGAACACCAGUGGCGAAGGCGGCCCACUGGCUCGACACUGACGCUGAGGCGCGAAAGCGCGGGGAGCAAACAGG